CCUACGGGUGGCAGCAGUGGGGAAUAUUGGGCAAUGGGCGCAAGCCUGACCCAGCAACGCCGCGUGAAGGAAGAAGGCUUUCGGGUUGUAAACUUCUUUUAAGAGGGAAGAGCAGAAGACGGUACCUCUUGAAUAAGCCACGGCUAACUACGUGCCAGCAGCCGAGGUAAUACGUAGGUGGCAAGCGUUGUCCGGAUUUACUGGGGGUAAAGGGCGUGCAGCCGGGAAGACAAGUCAGAUGUGAAAUCCCGCGGCUCAACCGCGGAACUGCAUUUGAAACUGUUUUUCUUGAGUACCGGAGAGGUCAUCGGAAUUCCUGGUGUAGCGGGGAAAUGCGUAGAUAUAAGGAAGAACACCAGUGGCGAAGGCGGAUGACUGGACGGCAACUGACGGUGAGGCGCGAAAGCGUGGGGAGCAAACAGGAUUAGAUACCCCUGUAGUC
This 442-nucleotide ribosomal RNA is filed under the name uncultured bacterium. RNAcentral's name for it is "partial 16S ribosomal RNA". It matches the Rfam family "Bacterial small subunit ribosomal RNA", at positions 338 to 795 of the family's 1533-position model. The record is from RNAcentral.